This 277-nucleotide unclassified non-coding RNA is filed under the name Hevea brasiliensis (rubber tree). The record is from RNAcentral. Lineage: Eukaryota; Viridiplantae; Streptophyta; Magnoliopsida; Malpighiales; Euphorbiaceae.
UUUGGAUGAUGUUUGGAAUGAUAAAUAUGAUAGCUGGGACAUAUUGAUGAGACCUUUGAAAUCUGUGGCGCAAGGAAGUAAGAUUGUUUUUACAACACCAAAUGUGGCAUCAGUUAUGCGUACAGUUGCAACUCACCAUCUCAAGGAAUUAACUGAUGAUGAUUGCUGGUCCUUAUUUGCGAAAUUUUCUUUUGAUGAUGGAAAUUCCAAAGUGCAUUCGGAUUUAGAAGUGAUUGGUGGAGACAUAGUAAAAAAGUGCAAAGGUUUACCUUUAGCU